UCAGAAGCUCUUUACUAGUAAAGUCAACGAAUAUUUGAAGGAUUACACAUUCAUUACAACCGGUGAAUUGCCGUUGUGGAUUCCACAUAUAGUCAGCUCCUGUCCAUUUUUGUUUCCUGUGGACACUUUUCCACAACGUUUGACCGUGAGCGCGCAUUAUUACGGAUUCUUGCUGUCUUCAAUCCCGAAUUUGUUGGACCGAGAAGUGCUCAUAUCACUGCUCAACUGCACGUAAAGCAAAAGAAUGUGAUCGUGAAAUGAUUCGGGAAGAUUCAAAAGCGAUUCUACAGAAAUUGACCGUAAAAGAGAAUGCUGUUCUCGAAAUUAUGUUCAAAGGAGAGUAUGGAUUUGGGUCGGGUCCGACCAGGGAGUUUUUUUCUCUUCUGAGUCGAGAAAUCCAGAGAUUUGACCUUUUCCUGUGGCGAGGAGAACGGGUUACCUUUGACGUUGAUGGUCCGUUACAGACGGUUGACUACGUUCAAAGUACGACUGUAUAUUCUCAUUACCAACAACCCACCGUGAUCAAAUGAACUCAACGUCCGGCUGGUCAUUUUAUCUCGUUGGGAAACUACUUACCAGAUGUAUAAUGGAUUCC
This is a long non-coding RNA of Daphnia pulex (common water flea), 595 nucleotides long. RefSeq lists it as uncharacterized. The transcript has 3 exons. NCBI's taxonomy places the organism in Eukaryota, Metazoa, Arthropoda, Branchiopoda, Diplostraca, Daphniidae. The record is from RefSeq and is a predicted model, not a curated record.